Molecule: ribosomal RNA, 497 nt
Filed under: uncultured bacterium
Lineage: Bacteria
Description: partial 16S ribosomal RNA
Rfam family: Bacterial small subunit ribosomal RNA
Source: RNAcentral
GAUGAACGCUGGCGGCGUGCCUAAUACAUGCAAGUCGAGCGAACAGACGAGGAGCUUGCUCCUCGGACGUUAGCGGCGGACGGGUGAGUAACACGUGGAUAACCUACCUAUAAGACUGGUAUAACUUCGGGAAACCGGAGCUAAUACCGGAUAAUAUAUUGAACCGCAUGGUUCAAUGGUGAAAGACGGUUUUGCUGUCACUUAUAGAUGGUUCCGCGCCGCAUUAGGUAGUUGGUAAGGUAACGGCCUUCCACGGCGACGAUGCGUAACCGACCUGCGAGGCGGAUAGCCCACACUGGAGGUGAGACACGGUCCAGACGACUACGGGAGGCCGCAGUAGGGAAUCUGCCGCAAUGGGCGAAAGCCUGACGGAGCAACGCCGCGUGAGUGAUGAAGGUCUUCGGAUCGUAAAACUCUGUUAUUAGGGAAGAACAAAUGUGUAAGUAACUAUGCACGUCUUGACGGUACCUAAUCAGAAAGCAACGGCUAACUACGUG